GAGAUUGAUCCAAACACAGAACCAACCUUUAUUUUGAGAAUCUGAAUAAGAGCAAUGGUUUGAGAUUAGAUUUAGACUUGGGUGGCUUUAUGAAUGGUUGAAACUGAAGAUGAAAAAGGAUGUAUUUUUAUAUGCUGGGAUCAGCAUUAUCUUUGGUUUUAUUGCAGACAUAAUCGAAGGGAAUUAGACCCUCUAUUUUUAAAUCAAACAAUUGAUUAAGUUAUUUUAGAAUCAAACAACCCCAAAUUUUAGCAUCAGAAAUGCACUUACAUUUCUAAUAUAUAUUAGAAUAUUUUCUGAUGAGUUUUCUGAGUUUUAAAACCUUGUUUGGUUCUGUGUGUUUGAGUGUUUGCUCUGGUCUUGUGUCUGAAGUCAAGUCAAUGUUCUGCUGGACUUAAAAACCAAUUUGGGAACAAGUGGUAAUUUGGACACAGACUCUGUGGAAUGUCAAGAAGUCUACUUGCCAUAUCAACACAUUUGGCCCUUGAACAACGCUCCUUUUUAUUUUACAUUUCUUGUCUUUGUGGGUUUUUAUUACCACUGUGCAACCACAGCACUGCAUCCAACAGACACUUGAAAUGGUGCUACCUGAAACAGCAACAACAAACCCAUCCACAACGCAGCUCAAACGCUUGUACAACCAACGAUCCUUGUCUGCCGUGUCAUACAGGACGUUUCCAUCCGAACGAAUGGAGGAGAAACAAAAACAUGCAUCAUAUGCAUUCCCAUGGAACGUGGGCGGUGCUCGGUGUGGAAAUCAAUCUUCAAAUGUGUUUUUACAACAACGCAGCUACCACAACAAGCUAUCCUGCACCUGCCUACCUUAUAGCUGUUUAUAGAAACAAAUCGGCACAAUUUAAAAAGAAGGAAUAGCAAGGAUCUUUGGACUAUAGAGACAACAUCCAUCCUUUCUCUAUCUAGCCGUAACAAGCAAUAACCGUUUCUAGUAUUUUUGUUUAUUUGAAAUUUCGACCAUUUGACCUCCUGUUUUCCCCCCCUCUCUUUUCCAAGGCAACAGACCUGUGGCCGUCCAAAAAAAGCUCAUUCAACUUGCUUAGUUUUUUGUACAUAAUUAGAUAGCUUACAAAUAGCUUAAUAAAUUAACGAUGAAAAAAAGGAGUGUAAAAAAAAAAGUUUGACAACUUGUGUAUAGAAAAAAACCUAUUGCCUCUGUUGCUGUUUUUGACCUUGUGUUUUUGUGCAUUUUAAAUUAUAUUUUUGAAAAGAUUUAUUCUACUUCUCUCAGAGUGUGACUGGCAAGCGGUCAGUCAGUCGUCCACGUGGCAUGAAUUGGACAGUAAUUGCUUUGUUCAUUUUGCUGGUUGAAACGUUCAAAGGUUACCAUUCUGUAGCUGUCCCCCAUCAACCCCAAGAGAAACGUUCAAAGGUUACCAUUCUGUAGCUGUCCCCCAUCAACCCCAAGAGAAACGUUCAAAGGUUACCAUUCUGUAGCUGUCCCCCAUCAACCCCAAGAGAAGUUCCACUUCAUAGUACUUAACUUCAAGUUCAAGACACAACAACAAGAGAACAACAACUAUAUGGCUGUAAUACAAAAUGGCCGCCACCCCAGGACAUCUUCUGUUCAUAAAUACAGAGUUUGUGUGGCACUCUUAUUUAUUCAAACUUGUUUGUUUCUUACUUUUAUUUUGAAAACUCCUAUAUGGCAUUCCACUGGUGGUAUCUCGUGAGCUGUGGUGGAACUCGAGUCUGAAGUGACAGCACCAAGGUGUAUGAUGAUGUCAUUGACUGUGUAUGUACAUCCUUAGCCCUUGUUACUGAAGCGAGCCCAACUUGCACUUUGAAAAGUCUGGUUUUCCACUGGUAUUCACAUAUCUCUUCAUAUGAAAGAACAAUCCCACCCUGACCCUUGAGUUUUUGAAGUUUAUAUAUUUAUUAGCCUAUUUCUCCAUCCCUCACAGAACCAACACAGAUUGAGAAAAAAAAUGAAAAAAGUUAACUUAUUUGGUUUCUGUCUUAUCUUAUUACUCUUCCUAUUUUUUAAUGAUUUUAUCCCUUAUUUUAAGAUUUAAUGUUUAAAAGUGAAACAAUUGUUGUUUCCCAAAUGGCACCCUAUUCCCUACAUAGUGCACUACGUUUGACCAUACUCUGUCAAAAGUAGAGCACUAAGUAGGGAAUAGGGUGCCAUUUAGGAAACAGACCAUGGUGAAUCGUAGUGAAGUCAUACCAGGCUAAUGUUGUUUUGUUAGACGGACACUUGAAAUGUCCCCAAGCUGCUCCCAGUACUGAGCCUUGCCUCUCAUGCAUCCACGGUCGAGUUCCAAACUGACCCCAAGCUGCUCCCAGUACUGAGCCUUGCCUCUCAUGCAUCCACGGUCGAGUUCCAAACUGACCCCAAGCUGCUCCCAGUACUGAGCCUUGCCUCUCAUGCAUCCACGGUCGAGUUCCAAACUGACCCCAGGCUGUAUGGUCAUCUUCUCCUUCUCUGAUAGGCUGGGUGGAGUUUUUGUCCUAACGGUUUACACCUAUCCAAUAAUCCUAGAAUUUGCUAGGAGGGGAUGGGGGUGUAGGGUCAAGGGGUUGAUUUUGGACUCAGCCUACAAUAGCCAAGUCUAAUGGGCAAAUACUGAGCCAGCUACUAUACAAAAUGGGGGCUAACUAACUAACUCCACACUCUAGUAGGAAGACAAGUAGUAGUCUUUACUAGAUUAUGUUUUAGUCAACAAAAUGUGUCUUACAUUUACAAAAGCCUCAGAUUAAUAUUAUUGAGAUCAAAAACCUAUGGUUUCAACGAAGGACAUCAUUCAAGGUGUAAAGUUAAGAGUGUAAUCUUGAGGGAUUUCAUGAUCUCCUCAAAUUUGGAUGGUUCACUGACUAUGGUGCUUUCUCGAUAGAAACAAGCCAAACGACCUCAGAACACCAACAGUGUCCUCUUCUCUUUCACAGGGGGCAGAUUACUUCACUCUCCUUCAUUUACACUUUUAUCUUCUAGCGCUUUUUUUUGUCGUUUUUUGAACCUGCACUAUGAGAAAAAAGGGCCCAUAUUUAAUGAAAAACGGUGUUUUUCCCCAAUCCCCUCUCUCUUUUGUGUGUGUUGUCUGGUGUCCUUAGUGCGGCCAUAUAAGUGAUACCUGCUUUUGCCUGUGUAUGGCUAGCAGUAUGUUGUUUUAUCCAGAUUUGGGGGUCUAUUCUAACUCAGUUCCAAUCUGUUCAGUUCAAGAUGGGAAUUUCUUACCUGGUAUCCAAACUGAAUUCACAUUCCAUUUUGCAGAUGGAAUUUAGAUGGAAUUGACCUCCACCCUGAAUAAUGUCACUCCAGUGUGCUAGGUAUUGGUCUUAUAGACAAUGACUCGGAGGGGGGGAACGAAUAGCCUGGGACCCAGAUCUGUUUGUGCUGUCUUUCCAACUCCUGUGGUCAUUCUGGUCAAGACAGCACAAACAGAUCUGGGAACCAGGUUAAGGCAGAAUGAAUGGGUAAAAGUAGAUACAACUAUUCCCACCUCCAAACAGGACAGACCUAGCCUGGGUUAAACUAGGCUGAAUGCUGUGAUACAAGUUAGCGUAGCAUUCAGUCUGGUUUAACCAGGCUAUAGGAGAGACUAUAGUCCCCUUGUUGUUCAGAUGAACUCUGUGGCCAUCAAUCCUUUGUAGAACAUGCUCUCUGAUGAUGAUGAUUCUCGCUGUGUAAGUUUGAAAAUGCAAUACUUACAAUAAAACACCAAGAUUUUCAAACCGGAA
Oncorhynchus kisutch (coho salmon) is the source of this 3696-nucleotide long non-coding RNA. RefSeq lists it as uncharacterized. NCBI's taxonomy places the organism in Eukaryota, Metazoa, Chordata, Actinopteri, Salmoniformes, Salmonidae. The record is from RefSeq and is a predicted model, not a curated record. The transcript has 2 exons.